UGAUAUGUUUGAUAUUAGGUUGUUUUACUGAAACUCAACUAAAUAUCAUACAUAUUGCU
RNAcentral lists this microRNA precursor (59 nucleotides) under Xenopus laevis (African clawed frog). Its description in RNAcentral is "microRNA xla-mir-190 precursor". Its record names the gene xla-mir-190. It matches the Rfam family "mir-190 microRNA precursor family", at positions 10 to 69 of the family's 78-position model. Lineage: Eukaryota; Metazoa; Chordata; Amphibia; Anura; Pipidae. The record is from miRBase by way of RNAcentral.